AUUGACUUUCUUGUUUGUAUUUGUGAUAUUGGUUUGUCUAUGAUUGAAGAAUUAUUUUGGUUAUUGUAUUUUUGUGAUUUAAUUUUUUUUACGAUAGGUUAUUUGUACUGUGAAGGGUUGUUGCUUGUUUAAUAGGUAUUUUUUUGGAAGCAGAUUUUGGUUAUUGUACCUUGUGUAUCAGGGUUCAUUGAAUUUUAUUAUUUAUUUUUAUUUCCCGAUUUUGGGGGAGUUAAUAAUUUAUGUUAGUUACUGUGUCAUUAGUAUUAAUAAUGUCUUAUUGGUAGUGAAAUGUUAUUCGUCUUUAAAGGUUUCUGGUUUUCCAAGAAAUGAAUUGAAUUCAUGUAUUUUAUUUAAUUUCUGUUAUUGUUUUAUUUAUUUUUAUUUUGUAUAAAGAUUAAGGGGGAUUAGCUUCUUAUUUUAUCGUUAAAAUUAUUUGUGUCUUAUUGUGGUUUUGUGGAUUUUAUAGUGAUUUUCAAUUUGAUUAUGUUAAAGUUUUAUUUGUUUUAUUGUUUAUUUUUGUGGAUUUAAGUUAUUUAUUGGAAUGUUUACUUUAUCUAUGGUUUGUAUGGUAAUUAUUAUGUAAUUAGUAAAUUUUUUUGUUGUGUUGUAUAAUUUGAGUGUUAAUUUCUUUUAAGGAAUUAGGCAAAUGUUUUAUAUCCGCCUGUUUAACAAAAACAUCUUUUCUUGUUAGUUUUUGAAGUAUGGCCUGCCCGCUGACUGUGUGUUGAAGGGCCGCGGUAUUUUGACCGUGCAAAGGUAGCAUAAUCAUUAGUUCUUUAAUUGUGAUCUGGUAUGAAUGGCUUGACGAGAUAUAGGCUGUCUUGGUGGAAUUGGGUUGGAAUUGAAUUUGGUGUUUAAGUUAAAAUUCUUAAAUGUUUUUAUGGGACGAGAAGACCCUAUAGAGUUUAACAUUUAUUUGCUGAGUAGUAUGUUUGUUUGUGUUAUGGUUAUAGUAAAUUAAGUGUUUUGUUGGGGUGAUGAGAGGAAUAUUUUUAACUCCUCUUUGUUUUUGUAUAUUUAUUUAUAUGUAUUCUGAUCCAUUUAUUGUGAUUAUAAGAUUAAAUUACCUUAGGGAUAACAGCGUUAUCCCCCUUGAGAGUUCUUAUUGGCGGGGGGGUUUGCGACCUCGAUGUUGGAUUAAGGUGAAUUUUUGGUGCAGAAGCUGGAGGUGAUUGGGUCUGUUCGACCUUUAGAAUCUUACAUGAUCUGAGUUCAGACCGGCGUGAGCCAGGUUGGUUUCUAUCUAUAAUAGUGUUUUAUAUCUUAGUACGAGAGGACCGGGUAUUUGGAAUAAUUUUAUUUCGUGUGAUUUUUAUUAAUGUGUUGCUAUUUUGGCAGAUAAGUGCACUGGAUUUAGAAUCUAUUAA
Molecule: ribosomal RNA, 1367 nt
Filed under: Orthognathotermes aduncus
Lineage: Eukaryota; Metazoa; Arthropoda; Insecta; Blattodea; Termitidae
Description: 16S ribosomal RNA
Rfam family: Bacterial large subunit ribosomal RNA (bases 855-1253)
Source: RNAcentral